GUGGAGGGUGUAUGGAGAGAUAAUAGAGGUGGUGUUAGUGGUGGUGGAGGGUGUAUGGAGAGAUAAUAGAGGUGGUGUUAGUGGUGGUGGAGGGUGUAUGGAGAGAUAAUAGAGGUGGUGUUAGUGGUGGUGGAGGGUGUAUGGAGAGAUAAUAGAGGUGGUGUUAGUGGUGGAGGGUGUAUGGAGAGAUAAUAGAGGUGGUGUUAGUGGUGGUGGAGGGUGUAUGGAGAGAUAAUAGAGGUGGUGUUAGUGGUGGUGGAGGGUGUAUGGAGAGAUAAUAGAGGUGGUGUUAGUGGUGGUGGAGGGUGUAUGGAGAGAUAAUAGAGGUGGUGUUAGUGGUGGAGGGUGUAUGGAGAGAUAAUAGAGGUGGUGUUAGUGGUGGUGCAGGGUGUAUGGAGAGAUAAUAGAGGUGGUGUUAGUGGUGGUGCAGGGUGUAUGGAGAGAUAAUAGAGGUGGUGUUAGUGGUGGUGGAGGGUGUAUGGAGAGAUAAUAGAGGUGGUGUUAGUGGUGGAGGGUGUAUGGAGAGAUAAUAGAGGUGGUGUUAGUGGUGGUGGAGGGUGUAUGGAGAGAUAAUAGAGGUGGUGUUAGUGGUGGUGGAGGGUGUAUGGAGAGAUAAUAGAGGUGGUGUUAGUGGUGGAGGGUGUAUGGAGAGAUAAUAGAGGUGGUGUUAGUGGUGGUGGAGGGUGUAUGGAGAGAUAAUAGAGGUGGUGUUAGUGGUGGUGGAGGGUGUAUGGAGAGAUAAUAGAGGUGGUGUUAGUGGUGGUGGAGGGUGUAUGGAGAGAUAAUAGAGGUGGUGUUAGUGGUG
Molecule: long non-coding RNA, 805 nt
Organism: Ictalurus punctatus (channel catfish)
Lineage: Eukaryota; Metazoa; Chordata; Actinopteri; Siluriformes; Ictaluridae
Source: Ensembl